RNAcentral lists this ribosomal RNA (119 nucleotides) under Pteropus alecto (black flying fox). Lineage: Eukaryota; Metazoa; Chordata; Mammalia; Chiroptera; Pteropodidae. The record is from RNAcentral. RNAcentral also lists the same sequence under 1 other name.
GUCUACGGCCAUGCUACCCUGAAUAAGCCCGAUCCCUUCUGAUCUUGGAAGCUAAGCAGGGUCCGGCCUGCUUAGUACUUGGAUGGGAGACCACCUAGGAAGACCAGGUGCUGUAGGUG